RNAcentral lists this long non-coding RNA (3117 nucleotides) under Dasypus novemcinctus (nine-banded armadillo). RNAcentral describes it as "lncRNA (ENSDNOG00000052888.1)". Lineage: Eukaryota; Metazoa; Chordata; Mammalia; Cingulata; Dasypodidae. The record is from RNAcentral.
CCGACUGGGAGCGGAGCCCAGACUCUCGGGGCUCGUGGGGGACGAGGUCCUGCGCGGCCCUGACCGCUUCUCGGGCGCCGGAGGCACCGGCGUGCUGGAGCCGCGGCCUGGUCUGGUUCUGGGGCCUCGUCCCUGCUGUGCCCUCCUCCGCUCUCCUCUCCCACUGCCCCCCUCUCCACACCCCCGCCCCCUCCUUUUUGUUUCCUCUGCGGCUUCUUUUUUUUUUUUGGGGGGGGUCUCCUUAGCCUUUUUCUUCCUUAUUUCCUCUUCUUUUCACCUUUCCUUACUUGCAAGGGUAUUUCCUACUCACUCUCCCUCCUCGCCGUAUACCGUGUAUACCACUUCGUGCACAGUCACACUCUGGAGGAGGGCAUCCUCAGGGCCGGGGUUAUUUUUCUCGCGGCAGGGCUGCUUCAGGAGCGUGUGCGGGUCUCAGGAGCUCCUGACAAAGUCCUCUCUAAUUUCUCCCCAAGCAGGGGCUCGCAGAAGGUCUGCGCCUGCAUAAGCGUGGGGGCGCAUUUGGAGCCUCCAGGAGAAAAGGCAGACCAGGACAGAGAUGGGUGGACGCUUGCAAGCGCUCUAUUCUAGACGUAGUGAUUUUGAUCCCGGACUAUUCACAGCUGCAAUGUCGCUGACCUUGCUGACGGCUUUGCAAAUAUGCGCAGGAGACCCAACGGCCAUCUGCGCUCUGGCAUGAAGUAUGGGAAGGGGCGCCGAGUAUUUCAUAAGUAAAUCACAGCCUCACACCGGCGUCCCGCGGGGGUGGAUGGGGCCUGGCUUCGGUACUGGCGCAAAAUCGUGGACUCCUUCCCAGGGGCCUCGGGCUUCGCGCUUUGGGGAGUCAUGGAACCAAGCGACCCGCCCUCUUCUGCACGCUUUCUCCAAAUCUGACAGGCCCCAACCGGCCCUGCCAGUCCUCGGAAUCGACAGGAUUUCUCUGACUGCUGUUUGCGCUGCAUUUAUGAGAAUAAAUCCGGCUCGCAGGCAUCUAGCAGGAACCGCUACUGGCUUGCGUGUAGGCGGACGCCUCGGCCCAGCGCGGGACGGGAGGUGGCUCCUUUUGCCCGGGCAACGGCAGGUCGGGCCUCCGAGGGACGCUGGACAAGCGGCGCCCGCAGGCUGGGCAGCCCCCACCUCUGCUGGUGCGGAGUCCGCCCGCAGCGAAAACUGAAAGCAAAUUCCGAUGCAGACGUAGUCCAAACUUUCCUCGACGCGAGUCUGUAGCCGAGAUCCCGAGGCGAGUUUGGAAGGCCAGCGCGCUAGGGGGUGCGCGCGCGGGGUGGAGCCGGGGGCCAAGAAGGAGUCGGGCGGCCGAAGCUGGCCAGGGGCGAAGAGCUAGGAAAGGCACCCCUCCCUCCUCAUUUCCGCCCCUGUCGGUAAAAAAUAGUUUCCAAGCUGCCGCGGCCUCCCUGGAUGUGCUUGCGGGGAUCGCGCUGAGGAGAGGGGGCUUUGUAAAAGUUGCAGAAAGAGCUUUGUUCAGAAGCGUCCACCAGCAGGGCUAAAGAAAGCUUGGGACUCGCACGCCUUCCCAGGGGAAGAAUGGCCCGGAAUCGGCGCCUGGGAGACAACCCCCCUCCCCCUUUCUGUUCCUCUCCGCACACCUGGAGCCCACGCGGACAGAACCUCCUGCUCCCUGCUUUGCAAACUUCCCCGCGCCGCCGUCCGCGGGCGAGGCCCGGACACUGCGCGCGCUCGGCCCCAGCCCUGAGAAAGGCUCGCACAGAAGCGGCGGCGGUGGCGGUGGCAGAGUGUGGCCCCUCUCUCCACUUAGACGGCCAGCCCCUCAUCGCCGAUCCCCCGGCUCCCCUGAGCGGGCGCUUCCCCCUGAAAGCGGCGGUCUGAGGGGGCCGGCUAGGGCGCAAAGUGCGCGCGCGGGCUCGCCCGCCUGUCUCUCCGCGGGGCCUGUCGCCGGGCCGGCCGUGGCGGGUGAGUGAUGAGGGCAGAGAAGGGCGCCCAUAAAUCGCGGGUGUCAGGGCGAAAAACUCUCUUUAUUGUCUGCGUGAUGGAUGGGCCUGGGGACGAGACACCAAAUACUUCGUAUCGCCUUUAAAUGGGAACACAUUUUCCGCGGCCAUAAUUCAUGUUUUUUAAAUAGAAAGUUUGAAAUGUUGCCUAUAUUUCACCGGCCCUGACAUAUUUAUGAAUCACUCCCUGCAUGCAAAUAUCAUUAUUUAAAGCGCCAGGGAGAGUGCGGGGGAGGGGAGGAGGUGCGGUCCCCGGGGGAUGGGGGUGGUGAGCGGGGGCAAUGGGGGCGGAGGGGGGCCAUCUUCUUAAAGUGCGGACAAUGAGGCGCGGGGGGUAAGUCAUCUCCGGGAGCCAAGGGCGCCCUGGGCUCCCCUCCCCGCCGCCAGAUCCCGCACAGCCGGCUCGGGAAGUUUGCGCGGCUCGGGGCGGAGGACAGACCCCGCCCCCUGCCGGGAAACCGGGGAGCCUUUGGAGCCCCUCUCAGAGGUCCAGAUGCGAGCCGAAGCCAUCUUUUUCCAAGAAGGAAGUAAAAUAGCCAUAAGAACACGCAAAGAAUAACAACCCAACAUGUUUCUUGCUCUUUGCCAUUCCGUCGAUUUUAUUGAUUUUCAUUCUGCAAACCUGGGAUUGUGAGCACCCGGGCGGGGCGGCUGUCAGACCCAGUCACCGCGGGGAGAGGGUGCAGGACGACCCCCGGGGGCCGCAACGCGGACCCGCCUCCACCCCACCAACUCAGAGCCUGCGGGCGCGGCCGAGCCCGCGCAGGACGCGGGGACGCAAACAGCGCGCUCCCGAGCGCCGGGGCUUCGGAUUCGCCGUCUUCCUGCCCAGCGCUCCCGGGGUCCCCGUCCGCCUGCCCCCUAGACCCUACUAGCGUUACAGCCGCUUUGGGGAAAGCCGGGCCCGUGCCCGGGGCCUGUCCCCGACCCGCGCGUCCCGGGAGGCGGCCACACCUGCGCCGGCGCUGGCGGAGACUUUACCUGAGCGUCCCAGCGGCGCCCGCGGCCGCGGACAGGAGGAAAGGGAGGGAGGGCGGGGAGGCGGGAGGGGCAGAGGGCGGGGCCCGCUACGGCCAGACGCACGGACCCCGGGCUUGCUCUCGGGACCCAGCGCCGGGGCCUCGGCCCAGCCCGCUCCGGGAGCGGACUCGCG